RNAcentral lists this ribosomal RNA (254 nucleotides) under uncultured bacterium. RNAcentral's name for it is "partial 16S ribosomal RNA". It matches the Rfam family "Bacterial small subunit ribosomal RNA", at positions 526 to 779 of the family's 1533-position model. The record is from RNAcentral.
CGUAGGGUGCAAGCGUUGUCCGGAAUUAUUGGGCGUAAAGAGCUCGUAGGCGGUUCGUCGCGUCGGCUGUGAAAACCUGAGGCUCAACCUCAGGCCUGCAGUCGAUACGGGCGGACUUGAGUACUGCAGGGGAGACUGGAAUUCCUGGUGUAGCGGUGAAAUGCGCAGAUAUCAGGAGGAACACCGGUGGCGAAGGCGGGUCUCUGGGCAGUAACUGACGCUGAGGAGCGAAAGCGUGGGGAGCGAACAGGAUU